GGGAAAUGAGCAGAGGGGCCAGCCUCAGGCCCUAAAACAAACUGGGGCA
This is a regulatory RNA element of Pan troglodytes (chimpanzee), 49 nucleotides long. Lineage: Eukaryota; Metazoa; Chordata; Mammalia; Primates; Hominidae. The record is from Rfam.